Molecule: non-coding RNA, 294 nt
Organism: Cinara cedri
Lineage: Eukaryota; Metazoa; Arthropoda; Insecta; Hemiptera; Aphididae
Source: the annotation of a GenBank genome assembly
UUUUGUGUAUGGUUGGGUAUUUGUAAUUUUCCAGAACAAAAUGUUUUGAAAACCCGGAUUUUAUUCACAUUGACAAUUUUGCAUAAGUUGGAAACUGUAGAUUAAUAUUGGCUUUAUAAAUGUUAUUUAUAUAUUGAAAGUUUUGUAUUUGUUGUUUAAGAUUAAUGUUUUAAUCUGAAAGCGUAACUUUUAAAGUUAAUUUAAUUUGACCCAAUAAAGUAAUGGUCAAUAGUAAGAUUUAAGCAUUUCACUAAAGAGGAAGGAAAAAUUAGUAUUUUAUCAAGGAAUCUCUUA